This 30-nucleotide non-coding RNA is filed under the name Rattus norvegicus (Norway rat). Lineage: Eukaryota; Metazoa; Chordata; Mammalia; Rodentia; Muridae. The record is from RNAcentral.
UGUGACUGUAGAACCAUCUUCCUUCCAAGU